Oreochromis niloticus (Nile tilapia) is the source of this 81-nucleotide non-coding RNA. The record is from Rfam. Lineage: Eukaryota; Metazoa; Chordata; Actinopteri; Cichliformes; Cichlidae.
CUGUAACCUGGUUCAAGUAAUCCAGGAUAGGCUUUCUGCAUCUGCUUUGGCCUAUGCUUGAUUACUUGCACUUGGAGGCAG